This 383-nucleotide ribosomal RNA is filed under the name uncultured eukaryote. Its description in RNAcentral is "partial 18S ribosomal RNA". It matches the Rfam family "Eukaryotic small subunit ribosomal RNA", at positions 592 to 976 of the family's 1831-position model. The record is from RNAcentral.
CAAUAGCGUAUAUUAAAGUUGUUGCAGUUAAAAAGCUCGUAGUUGGAUUUCUGGUAGGAGCGACCGUGCCGAACUUGAUUGUUCGAGUAUUGUGUUGUCUUCAGCCAUCCUCGUGGAGAACUUUUCUAACAUUAACUUGUUGGGAUUGGGACCCGCGUCGUUUACUGUGAAAAAAUUAGAGUGUUUAAAGCAGGCAUUAGCUUGAAUACAUUAGCAUGGAAUAAUAAGAUAGGACUUUGGUACUAUUUUGUUGGUUUGCAUACCAAAUUAAUGAUCAACAGGAACAGUUUGAGGAUAUUCGUAUGAACAUGUCAGAGGUGAAAUUCUUGGAUUUUGAUCAGACGAACCACUGCGAAAGCAUUUAUCAAGGAUGUUUUCAUUAA